RNAcentral lists this ribosomal RNA (254 nucleotides) under uncultured bacterium. Its description in RNAcentral is "partial 16S ribosomal RNA". It matches the Rfam family "Bacterial small subunit ribosomal RNA", at positions 524 to 776 of the family's 1533-position model. The record is from RNAcentral.
UACAGAGGUCCCAAGCGUUGUUCGGAUUCACUGGGCGUAAAGGGUGCGUAGGCGGUCGGGUAAGUCUGAUGUGAAAUCUCACAGCUUAACUGUGAAACUGCAUUGGAUACUAUUCGGCUUGAGAGUUGGAGGGGGGACUGGAAUUCUUGGUGUAGCAGUGAAAUGACGUAGAUAUCAAGAGGAACACCAGUGGCGAAGGCGAGUCCCUGGACAACUUCUGACGCUGAGGCACGAAAGCUAGGGGAGCAAACAGG